UGAUCAUUGUGGCCGCCAGCUGACCCCACAGCCACCUUGUGCCUCCCUUGGACCCACCCAGGAAUUUCUGAGCCUUCUUUAUGAAUCCUGGCUAUGGAAGAAAGAGGACCAUAUAUUGGACUCCAAUUCAGAGCAUAUACAACCCUCUGGAGAACCUUGCCCUGGGACAAGCAGAGGUAUUGUCACAUAGCCAGCCCUGUAACUGAGUCUUCAGAAGGCCAUUCCACCAUUCUAUCCAGCCUGCUGCUUCAGGAGCCUGUUCGCGACGGGGUAGCCUCGCCGGCAGCUCCUGGGACCGGGAAAUCCAAGUGUGUCACAUUGAUUGAUUUGUGGAUAUUGAACAAUCCUUGCAUCCCUAGAAUAAAUCCCAGUUGCUCAGGAUUUAUGUCAGAAAGGAAAUCGUUGGCCGACCUGGCCGGGUCCUGCAUUAGCGUAGAUGUUUGCAGUCGGCGCCCUGCGGAAUCGGGUACCAAGAAGUCGGGCGCUGCAGCGGCGGGCAGGCUCCGCAGCAGAGCCCAGGCGGCAAACCUGAUAGCGGUGACGCUCCUCUGGCGUCUGCCCUGGCCCGGGCUUCCUUCAGCAGCUCCUCAGAGCGGUCCAGCAGCCACGGCCCUGGCUUCGCAAGCCUUAAUCGCAGAGACGGAGCUGGUGGCUGGUCUCCCCUUGUGUCAAAUAAAUACCAGUGGCUGCAGAUUGACCUUGGAGAAAGAAUGGAGGUCACAGCUGUGGCCACCCAGGGAGGAUACGGGAGCUCCGACUGGGUGACCAGCUACCUCCUGAUGUUCAGCGAUGGCGGGAGGAACUGGAAGCAAUAUCGACGAGAGGAAAGCAUCUGGGCGCUGGCAAUCACCAUGUUACUGGCUUUAUAAAUUUGAAUAGAUACCUCAUAUAAGUGGAAUCAUAUAAUUUUUGUUCUUUUGUAACUAGCUUAUUUCACUUAAUGUUUUCAAGGGUCAUCCAUUCUGUGGCAUGUGUCAGAAUUUCCUUCAUUUUAAGGCUGAAUAAUAUUCCACUGUAUGUAUAUCCCAGAUUUUUUUAAUCCAUUCAUCUGUUGGUAGAUACUUGGAUCGUUUCCACCUUUUGGCUAUGGUGGAUAAUGUUGCUGUGAACAUGAGUGUACAGGUAUCUCCUUGAGACCCUUCUUUCAACUUUUUUGGAUAUAUACCCAGAAGUGAAAUUGCUGGAUCAUAUGGUAAUUCUAUUUUUAAUUUUUUGAAGAACUGCCAUAACAGUCUUGCAAGUGGCUGCACUGUUUUACAUUCCUACCAGCAGUGCACGAAGUUUCCUAUAUAUCCUUGCCGACACAUCUUAUUUUCCAUUUAAAAAAAAAAAAUAGCCAAUCUAAAGGGAGUGAAGUAGUAUCUUACUAUGGUUUUGAUUUGUAUUUCCCUAACAAACAUCUUUUUCUGUGCUUAUUGGGCAUUUGUGUAUCUUCUUUAGAUAAAUGUUUAUUGCAGUACUUUGUGCAUUUUAAAAUCAGAUUGAUUUUUUUGUUGUUGAGAUGUACAAAGUUCUUUAUAUAUUCUGGAUAUGA
Balaenoptera ricei (Rice's whale) is the source of this 1534-nucleotide RNA transcript. It is a transcript of the gene named contactin-associated protein-like 3, with no coding region annotated. The transcript is spliced from 8 exons. The record is from RefSeq and is a predicted model, not a curated record. Lineage: Eukaryota; Metazoa; Chordata; Mammalia; Artiodactyla; Balaenopteridae.